CCUGGAUUAACUGACUGGUUAAGACUGUAGCUUUCCCACUCAAAUGAUUAUGUAUGCAUUUAUAUUUUCACCUGUGGAAUUCCACACGCCUCCCUGAUGUAAAUGCCUUGAAGAGAGAUGGCCAAAGCUCUGCAGAAGUGUCGGCGCUUUUCUAAGUGGGGGCUUGGAGCAAUUGUACCUGUGCGACUGGCUGCUCAUCACCCUUCACGUUUCUAUGGCAAGAGAGGAGACAGUCAUGCCCACCUGUGGGACCAUCAUCCUGAGGCUUAAAACAAGCUAAUUACAAAAUUUUAACUUU
Long non-coding RNA from Phascolarctos cinereus (koala), 298 nucleotides. RefSeq lists it as uncharacterized. The record is from RefSeq and is a predicted model, not a curated record. Lineage: Eukaryota; Metazoa; Chordata; Mammalia; Diprotodontia; Phascolarctidae.